RNAcentral lists this ribosomal RNA (409 nucleotides) under Actinomycetes bacterium. Its description in RNAcentral is "Actinobacteria bacterium partial 16S ribosomal RNA". It matches the Rfam family "Bacterial small subunit ribosomal RNA", at positions 355 to 776 of the family's 1533-position model. The record is from RNAcentral. Lineage: Bacteria; Bacillati; Actinomycetota; Actinomycetes.
UGGGGAAUAUUGCACAAUGGGCGGAAGCCUGAUGCAGCGACGCCGCGUGGGGGAUGAAGGCCUUCGGGUUGUAAACUCCUUUCGACAGGGACGAAGCUUUUGUGACGGUACCUGUAUAAGAAGCACCGGCUAACUACGUGCCAGCAGCCGCGGUAAUACGUAGGGUGCGAGCGUUGUCCGGAAUUACUGGGCGUAAAGAGCUCGUAGGUGGUUUGUCGCGUCGUCUGUGAAAUUCCGGGGCUUAACUCCGGGCGUGCAGGCGAUACGGGCUGACUUGAGUGCUGUAGGGGAGACUGGAAUUCUUGGUGUAGCGGUGAAAUGCGCAGAUAUCAGGAGGAACACCGAUGGCGAAGGCAGGUCUCUGGGCAGUAACUGACGCUGAGGAGCGAAAGCAUGGGUAGCGAACAGG